AUAUUUCACACACCGGGGGGAUGAGAAGCCCCGACCGGGGUUCGACAACUGGCGACAGCCAGUUGGACAGACCGUGAACGCAGUGAGCGGGCUGCCCAACUGGCUGUCGCCAGUUGGACAGACCGUGAACGCAGUGAGCGGGCUGCCCGCAGGGCGAGCGAAGCGAGUCAAUCCCCCCUCACCGCCA
Molecule: small RNA, 187 nt
Filed under: Escherichia coli
Lineage: Bacteria; Pseudomonadati; Pseudomonadota; Gammaproteobacteria; Enterobacterales; Enterobacteriaceae
Description: RtT sRNA
Rfam family: RtT RNA
About the family: This family represents a bacterial cis-regulatory element known as RtT RNA. The exact function of RtT is unknown although it is thought that it may be involved in changing the cellular response in relation to amino acid starvation.
Source: RNAcentral